This is a long non-coding RNA of Lycium barbarum (goji berry), 769 nucleotides long. RefSeq lists it as uncharacterized. The record is from RefSeq and is a predicted model, not a curated record. NCBI's taxonomy places the organism in Eukaryota, Viridiplantae, Streptophyta, Magnoliopsida, Solanales, Solanaceae. The transcript is spliced from 3 exons.
AAGAGCAUAAACUUGAAGGACCACACGGCCAAGACCUUGGAAAAUUAGGUCCUCAAAAUCUUCCUCCAAAAAUUAUUAGCUUGUGGUUUUCCUACUCAAUUAAGGGUCCUUUACAACUUGGUGUAGUUGUUUUGGAAGAAGGAGCACUUAUUUCUUCAAGUUGACAACUUGUUCAAGUGAAGAAAUUUGUAGAAAAAGGUUUUGGACGAAACGGGAUUUGAGUUUUGGCAAGCGUAAAGGGCAAGAAAGGUACCGACGACAGGUUUGCUGAUCCGUCCGCUUAGGAUCUUAUUCUCCUAUUUUGGAGCGCUCUCUUAUCCAGAGCCCAUCUUUUGGUAUAGUCUGUCACUACUGUAUAUAUAUAUAUAUUCUCGUUCAUGGGUACGGCGGGGCCCUGUCCCGUCAUAUGAUUCUGUCGGUCUGUUUAGAGGUCUGUGGACAUGUUUGUGGGUUGGGGUCUUUCUGUACAAAUGCGUGUAUAUGUUGUGUUUGGGCGAUCUCAUUCGCCGCGGCGGCCGGUCCGCAUAUGUUUAAAUGUUGCUUCGUUGGCCCUGUGUGGUCUUUUGUUGGUAUUUUCUGUGCGCAGGGUUAUUUUGGGUAGCCUGUAAAACAAAGGAAAUUCUGCCGAAUUUUUUCUGGAAAUUAUCUAACUUUGAAAUAUAGCCUUGUCGGCUUCCGCUAUAUACUUGAAUGCGUUUGAUAAAAUUUGAGAUAGCAUUUGAUAGAUGUGUUCGGGUGCUCAGAUCGGGCACUAGUCACGGCCUAUGGG